Molecule: ribosomal RNA, 300 nt
Filed under: Triticum aestivum (bread wheat)
Lineage: Eukaryota; Viridiplantae; Streptophyta; Magnoliopsida; Poales; Poaceae
Description: partial small subunit ribosomal RNA
Source: RNAcentral
AUGACGGACCUUCCCGUUAGCAGGUUGUCCUAUUUUGGUUUUCCUGAUCUUCGUGUCCUAUACCUAGCUGCGGAGGAGGAUGGCAACAUGACAAAAGGCAAUGACAUCAGCUCCGUUUGGCACGUGCGGAAUGAAAUCCUCCAAGACAGAAAGCCUCCGGUCGAUUCCUGCUCGGCUUCAAGCGGUUUUCUAAUGGGUUAUUUUGUGAAAGGUGAGUGCUGGUGGAGCUCCAUCGGGGAGAAGGAGGGAGGCGGGGGUGGUAGAUCCGGCGACAAGGUUGGUGGGAGGUUGCUUAUUUGA